UCUUUGGUCAAUCAAUCUCCUGGGGAAAAGUGUUGCAAGUGUGAUAAAAAUCUGUAAUUUGAAUUGCUGCCCAUUAUGGACAAUUACUAGGUCUGUAUGCUGUCCAACUCCCACACUGAACCAUUUCCAGAAUAACAGCUUUGCUUUGAUGAUCUUUAUAUUUUAUGCCUCUUUCAUCUCUUGACAAAAUGAAAUACCUGUAAUGCUUCUAAAAUUUUCUACAUGUGUUUGUUCAAGGUCUUCCCUGGUGAUUAUUGCCAGUUACUCAACUGCACUGCCCAUCUUUUUUUUUUUUUUUUUUUUUCUCGAUAGGUGAACAACUGAUUAGUCUUUAUGGUCUAAUCUGUUAUGGCAAGUAAAUAUACCUUACAUAUUCUCCUUUUGUGGUACUAAGACUAAGAGUUCCUGUAUGGUGGGCAAGCUUAUUAUGUUUUUUUUUAAUCACUGAGCAACAUCUGUAGAAAUACAAGCCCUAAACCACAUUAUAACUUUAGCAAACGAAUCCAUAUAUAUGUUGUACUACAUUUAAAGGAGAACCUCUAAAUUAUACAUAUAGUACAUUUUGUAAGUUAAAUAAUACUUUGUUAUAUUUAUUUAUUCAAUUUCAAUAUAUGAUUAAAAUUACACUCAGCAUAAACAUCCAAAUUACUAAAUAAUCAUAAACUAAAUGCAUCUGUGUAAAAACUACACAAGUCUAGAAACAAAAUAUUAUCAGAACCUUGUCAGACACUUCAUAAGAAUCCAAAGGUAACUACUUUCCAAAGUCCUAAAAUAUUCUAUUCUUUUUUCUCAGUUUAUUAUGAUUCAUUUAAUCAAACAGGUUUUCAAAGUCUGCUCAAUUUUAACUGACUUUUCUAUGCCUCAACAUUGUAUUUUUGAGAUCUAUCUAUAUUGUUGCAUAUGGUCAUAAAGGUCUCACUCUAUAUUUACAAUGUCAUAGACACAUGGAUGAAUAGGUACAAAGAUAGAUAGAUAGAUACAUAGAUAGAUAGAUAGAUAGAUAGAUAGAUAGACACGGAAAGAGAAACAACAUAUGCAUACAAUAGUUUAAGAGGCAUGGAAAGUGAGUCUUUGGGUAAAUAUAAAUAAAUAUGCACUUUUGGCCAGGCAGUGGUGGUGCACGGUUUUAAUCCCAGCACUUGGGAGACAGAGGCAGGCAGGUUUCUGAGUUUGAGACCAUAUAUAUAUAUAUAUAUAUAUAUAUAUAUAUAUAUAUAUAUAUGUAAAUGUAAAGGCCAUAUAUAUAUAUAUACAUAUAUAUAUAUAUAUAUAUAUAUAUGCCAAGAGAAUUGCAAGUCAAAUACUGUUUUUUAUAUAAUUGGCAAUUUGAUUGUUUAUUUCUCUAAAGCCUUAUGCACAUGUCCUCUUCUAAAGACAAUAAUAUCUCCAUAAUCUCUCCUUUUCAAAAUGAAUUCUCAAAUAUGUACCUUGUUUCACAGUGAUAUACACUUCUUCUCUUUAUAAUAUUCAUCUAAUUAUACUUAGUUAAUAAUAAUAAAUAAUAAUACACUAUUUGUGGUUAUUACCUUCUAGAGUUCAACAUGGUUCUAAGUUUUAAAAUGUCUAUAAAAUAGCAUUAGGUUUAUAUUGAAAGACUUUUCUAUAUUCCAUUCCUUUGUCAAUGAUUGAAUUUCAAAUAGCCAAAAAGGAUUAAACAACUCCAUCAAACAGGAUUCAUCAACUCAUCAAACAUUUUGUGUGUGGAAUUCAAUGCAUAUGAUGGUAUUCUAAUAACAAACAUGAUUUUGAAGUUUUACACAAAUAAACAAAUGGUUAAUGCAAAUGAAAUUAGU
Molecule: long non-coding RNA, 1793 nt
Filed under: Mus musculus (house mouse)
Lineage: Eukaryota; Metazoa; Chordata; Mammalia; Rodentia; Muridae
Description: long non-coding RNA chrX:84571235-84573028
Source: RNAcentral